CAUUGUCUGGUGAUCUUGGGUUGUGUGUGUGAUUGGACUGAAGAGGACGUCAGGGCCUUAACGGGGGGAGUCUGUCACACCCCAAUAAUCCCACAUCGGACAGGAAUGGGGAUGUGGUUGGAUAUAUAAGAGACUUAGACACUAGUAAUAAUAAGUAGGCUUAAGCAUUUUGGGCCGGUGGUUGGGCCCAACGAGUUAUUAUUGCUAGUGGGCUGGGUCGUUAC
Molecule: long non-coding RNA, 224 nt
Filed under: Ananas comosus (pineapple)
Lineage: Eukaryota; Viridiplantae; Streptophyta; Magnoliopsida; Poales; Bromeliaceae
Description: long non-coding RNA (ACOM_LNC040587)
Source: RNAcentral